This 2009-nucleotide long non-coding RNA is filed under the name Marmota monax (woodchuck). Lineage: Eukaryota; Metazoa; Chordata; Mammalia; Rodentia; Sciuridae. The record is from RNAcentral.
AACUUAAGAUAAGGAGUUAUCACCUACAGGAUAGAGAGAUAGACAUUAAAGCCCAGUGCUCUUAAUAGAAGGCUGUUAACUUAUUUGCUGGAUGUUUAAGAUUAAGUUUUAAAAUUAAAAAUUUGGCUCUUGCCCUCUGAGUCAGUCUGAAUCAGGGAAUAGGGGACUUCUCCAAAGGGCUCUUCAACUCUGGGCCACAUAACAUCCCGAUCAGGGAGAUUAAUGAGACCAGUGGAGGACAGGAGGCCAAUCGGUGCAUUUGCUGUGAAGAGGAGGGUCUUCAGAAAGGGGAGACAUCCCUGAUGCUUCUGAGGGAAGCCACAUGGGCAAGCAAGGCCUGGACCCAUCCUAAGGUAAAUGGCACUAGCAGAACUGAGAAGCUGCUAUGAAGUUCCCCAAGGACUCCCAGGGAAACUCAGCUGACUGUUGACAAUAGAUAAGAACAAAAGUCAGUUUGACUUGCUUCAUCUUAAACACUUAGUAAAGAUAGUUAAAGCCAAAGCACAGCUGUUCCUGGACAUUUUAAAUGAUAAUAAUAAUUAAAUGUGACUUCAAAAAAUAAGUAAACUGGAGGCUACAAAAGAGAUUCUCAGACAGAAAUGUCUGAUAACUAUUAAAAGGAACUGCCAGAGUAAUUUUUAGUUUAAGGCCCACAGAUAUUCCUAACCUACACAGGUAGGCUUGGUGUUUGCCAGUAUGGUUAUCCAGCCCUAAGUAGCAAAAUUAAAGGUUUAUCUAUUAGACAUAGGUCAUACUAGUAAAAAGGACAUCUGUAAACCUAAAUGUUAGUUGUUGUGUUUACAUCCCUGACAUUUCUGGCAAGGUGACAAAUAUCCUUAAAGAUUUACAUGCUUAGAUAGAAGCCAUGUCCUCAGCAACUUUGUCGUGGAAACAAUAUCUUAGCUUCUGGUUCUUGGUACUUCUUGGUGGAAAACAUUGUUAGUCUCUGUAUUAGCCAUUACACUCAUUGGCAUAUUCCUGUGCUGUGACAUUUAUUGCUGCAUCAAUAUGGUUCCAGUAAAUUAAUGAAUGCUUGUUUCUCUUAUAGACCACCCACCACUCGAAUGGCCAUCCAGCCUAAAACUUCUCAAUUGGACUUUUAUCAUGGACCACUCGAUAGACCCGAUAUUUUUAAAGGGGGACUCCAAACUGCUUGCCCCACACCAUCCCUUUUCAGCUUGAAGAAGCCAGAAAGAUUCUCUUCACCUCCCCUUCCUUACAGCAGUAAGGAGUUCCCAAAUUAGAGGGGGAAAUAAAGCCAGAUUUUAAGUUAGGUAGUCAGUGUAGUUAGAUAAAUCGGGGUCUAAUACUGAGAGGAAUCUAAAAUGGAGGCCAUGCUGAAAAUGAUACCAGGGAAUGCAAAACAACUCAUAAAAUGUGAAACCCUUCAAUAAUCGUGAUGCAUUACUUUUAAGAUUAAGAGUAGUCAGAAAAAGGAGUGGGGAAUAUAAGGGUAAAAGAAAUUGAAGUUAAAGCAUAAAAGUUAAAGGGUAAAAGACCGGGUGUUGUAAAGUUUCUAAGCUGUAAGGUCUGAGUUAAAAUGUAAAGGAUUAGGUAUUGUUAGGUUUCUAUGCUACCUGCAAAACCUGAAAUUUCUGUAGCUGUUGAGACAAUGCUUGGAACUGCCCAGGAAAUAUUUCCCCUGACUAUUGGUUGUUUAAUAAGGGCUCUGUGUGGUCGCACGUAGGCAUUGCAGGGCCUGGACCAAUCAGUUUAAAUGUAACCCCCUCCUUAGGAAUGACCUAUCACUCCAGCCUGACCUGUUCCUGCCAAUGAAUGAACCAAUCAUGUUUAGGAGUUGUUAUUCAAUUUUCCCGUGCCUAAUGAUGAUUUGUUCUGAUGUAUACAAAGCCCUCCGCCCUCCCCAAAAAGUGUACUUAAGCAGUGCUCAGCCCCUGCUCGGGGCUCUGGCUGCUUUCCCUUCUUGAGUGGGCAUGGAGCCCCAGCAUGCUGGUUCAAUAAAUCCCCCUUCUGCCAAUUGCAUGAGUGGUCACUUGGUGGUCUCUUUC